GACGAACGCUGGCGGCGUGCUUAACACAUGCAAGUCGAACGGACAGACAGAGAGCUUGCUCUCUUGAAGUUAGUGGCGAACGGGUGAGUAACGCGUAAUCAACCUGCCCUUCAGAGGGGGAUAACAACGGGAAACCGUUGCUAAUACCGCGUACGAUUCAUGAACGGCAUCGUUUAUGAAUGAAAGGUGGCCUCUAUGUAUAAGCUAUCGCUGAAGGAGGGGAUUGCGUCUGAUUAGCUAGUUGGAGGGGUAACGGCCCACCAAGGCAAUGAUCAGUAGCCGGGCUGAGAGGAUGAGCGGCCACAUUGGGACUGAGACACGGCCCAAACUCCUACGGGAGGCAGCAGUGGGGAAUCUUCCGCAAUGGACGAAAGUCUGACGGAGCAACGCCGCGUGAGUGAUGAAGGUCUUCGGAUUGUAAAGCUCUGUUAAUCGGGACGUAAGAGUUCUGCGUGAAUAAUGCAGAAAAGUGACGGUACCGGAAUAGAAAGCCACGGCUAACUACGUGCCAGCCGCCGCCGUAA
Molecule: ribosomal RNA, 524 nt
Filed under: uncultured bacterium
Lineage: Bacteria
Description: partial 16S ribosomal RNA
Rfam family: Bacterial small subunit ribosomal RNA
Source: RNAcentral